This 253-nucleotide ribosomal RNA is filed under the name uncultured bacterium. RNAcentral's name for it is "partial 16S ribosomal RNA". It matches the Rfam family "Bacterial small subunit ribosomal RNA", at positions 524 to 776 of the family's 1533-position model. The record is from RNAcentral.
UACAGAGGGGGCAAGCGUUGUUCGGAAUUACUGGGCGUAAAGGGCGCGUAGGCGGCCUGCUAAGUCGAACGUGAAAUCCCCGGGCUCAACCCGGGAACUGCGUCCGAUACUGACAGGCUUGAAUCCGGGAGAGGGAUGUGGAAUUCCAGGUGUAGCGGUGAAAUGCGUAGAUAUCUGGAGGAACACCGGUGGCGAAGGCGGCAUCCUGGACCGGCAUUGACGCUGAGGCGCGAAAGCCAGGGGAGCAAACGGG